This 495-nucleotide ribosomal RNA is filed under the name uncultured bacterium. Its description in RNAcentral is "partial 16S ribosomal RNA". It matches the Rfam family "Bacterial small subunit ribosomal RNA", at positions 28 to 507 of the family's 1533-position model. The record is from RNAcentral.
GACGAACGCUGGCGGCGUGCCUAAUACAUGCAAGUAGAACGCUGAAGGAGGAGCUUGCUUCUCUGGAUGAGUUGCGAACGGGUGAGUAACGCGUAGGUAACCUGCCUGGUAGCGGGGGAUAACUAUUGGAAACGAUAGCUAAUACCGCAUAAGAGUAGAUGUUGCAUGACAUUUGCUUAAAAGGUGCAAUUGCAUCACUACCAGAUGGACCUGCGUUGUAUUAGCUAGUUGGUGGGGUAACGGCUCACCAAGGCGACGAUACGUAGCCGACCUGAGAGGGUGAUCGGCCACACUGGGACUGAGACACGGCCCAGACUCCUACGGGAGGCAGCAGUAGGGAAUCUUCGGCAAUAGACGGAAGUCUGACCGAGCAACGCCGCGUGAGUGAAGAAGGUUUUCGGAUCGUAAAGCUCUGUUGUAAGAGAAGAACGAGUGUGAGAGUGGAAAGUUCACACUGUGACGGUAUCUUACCAGAAAGGGACGGCUAGCUACGUG